This 802-nucleotide ribosomal RNA is filed under the name uncultured bacterium. Its description in RNAcentral is "bacterial SSU rRNA". It matches the Rfam family "Bacterial small subunit ribosomal RNA", at positions 102 to 916 of the family's 1533-position model. The record is from RNAcentral.
ACGGGUGAGUAACGCGUGAGUAACCUGCCUUUCAGAGGGGGAUAACGUUCGGAAACGAACGCUAAUACCGCAUGACAUAUCGAGACCACAUGGUUUUGAUAUCAAAGGAGCAAUCCGCUGAAAGAUGGACUCGCGUCCGAUUAGCCAGUUGGUGAGGUAACGGCCCACCAAGCCCACGAUCGGUAGCCGGACUGAGAGGUUGAUCGGCCACAUUGGGACUGAGACACGGCCCAGACUCCUACGGGAGGCAGCAGUGGGGGAUAUUGCACAAUGGAGGAAACUCUGAUGCAGCGACGCCGCGUGAGGGAAGAAGGUCUUCGGAUUGUAAACCUCUGUCUUUGGGGACGAAACAAAUGACGGUACCCAAAGAGGAAGCCACGGCUAACUACGUGCCAGCAGCCGCGGUAAUACGUAGGGAGCGAGCGUUGUCCGGAUUUACUGGGUGUAAAGGGUGCGUAGGCGGCUCUGCAAGUCAGGCGUGAAAUACAUGGGCUUAACCCAUGGACUGCGUUUGAAACUGUGGAGCUUGAGUGAAGUAGAGGUAGGCGGAAUUCCCGGUGUAGCGGUGAAAUGCGUAGAGAUCGGGAGGAACACCAGUGGCGAAGGCGGCCUACUGGGCUUUAACUGACGCUGAAGCACGAAAGCAUGGGUAGCAAACAGGAUUAGAUACCCUGGUAGUCCAUGCCGUAAACGAUGAUUACUAGGUGUGGGGGGGUCUGACCCCUUCCGUGCCGGAGUUAACACAAUAAGUAAUCCACCUGGGAAGUACGACCGCAAGGUUGAAACUCAAAUGAAUUGACGG